RNAcentral lists this microRNA precursor (190 nucleotides) under Oryza brachyantha (malo sina). RNAcentral describes it as "MIR812 microRNA precursor family". It matches the Rfam family "MIR812 microRNA precursor family". Lineage: Eukaryota; Viridiplantae; Streptophyta; Magnoliopsida; Poales; Poaceae. The record is from Rfam by way of RNAcentral.
AACAAAUCAACUUUUCAGUUUUUAGAUACAACAUUUAACUCUUCGUCUUAUUCAAAAAAAUUACGAUUAAUAAUUUUAUUUUUAUUAGAUGAUAAAACAUGAAUAGUAUUUUAUAUGUGACUAAUUUUUUUUAAAAUUUCUUGAAAUUUUUUUAAAUAAGACGGACGGUCAAAUGCUCGACACAAAAACC